RNAcentral lists this ribosomal RNA (459 nucleotides) under uncultured bacterium. RNAcentral's name for it is "partial 16S ribosomal RNA". It matches the Rfam family "Bacterial small subunit ribosomal RNA", at positions 338 to 795 of the family's 1533-position model. The record is from RNAcentral.
CCUACGGGAGGCAGCAGUGAGGAAUAUUGGUCAAUGGGCGAGAUCCUGAACCAGCCAAGCAGCGUGCGGGAAGACGGCCCUACGGGUUGUAAACCUCUUUUGUCCGGGAACAACACCCCUGACGUGUAGCGGAUUGCGUGUAUCGGAAGAAAAAGCAUCGGCUAAUUCCGUGCCAGCAGCCGCGGUAAUACGGAGGAUGGGUGCGUUAUCCGGAUUUAUUGGGUUUAAAGGGUGCGUAGGCGGUAGGUUAAGCGGGCGGUAAAAUUUCGGGGCUCAACCCGGGCGUGCCGCUGAAACUGGCAUGCUUGAGUCUGCGUGAAGCAGGCGGAAUGCGUGGUGUAGCGGUGAAAUGCUUAGAUAUGGCGAAGAACCCCGAUUGCGAAGGCAGCUUGCUGGAGCCAGACUGACGCUGAUGCACGAAAGCGCGGGGAUCGAACAGGAUUAGAUACCCGUGUAGUC